Molecule: long non-coding RNA, 3291 nt
Filed under: Calidris pugnax (ruff)
Lineage: Eukaryota; Metazoa; Chordata; Aves; Charadriiformes; Scolopacidae
Description: lncRNA (ENSCPUG00000001945.1)
Source: RNAcentral
CGGCUGUCAUGGUUGUCUGUGUUUUUAUAGAUUUUAUAAUAGUAGUGAUCCUUUAGUCUCCUGUCCUAGUCUAAUGUCUCAGCCAUCUGCUGGACUCUCCCAGUUCCACACUGAGCUGCUUUAAAAGGUGAUUGUUUUCCUCAAUGUAUGAUAUCACAAUUAUUUGGGUACUCGAAUUUCAUGGCCAGUGGUCACCUUCAUGAAUAAAAUUUCAUGACAGUGGCCUAGCCUGCCUUUGCCAAGCCGUUAGCCUGGCCCCACUCUAUAAAACUCUACCACACACAGCACAGUAGGUUAAUGAUUGUGUGAGUGAAACUACUGUUACCGUCCCCGCUGAAGGUUAUCGGCUUUGACAGCGUUUGCUCAUGUCCAGUGAACCAUAAGUCAUAUUGUAAGAGUACUUAUCACUUACUGCCAAGGCAAUUCAUGAGCAGUUUGUGAGGAAAAAAAUGUGAGCAGGGAUGAGGAGGACACAUGAAAUUUUGGAGGGGAAAAAUAAAGUAUUAGGCAAUGCUAACUCAUCAAAAUGGGCCAAGAAAUAGGCUGUAAAAGAGAUGAAACAAUAAGAGAGCCAUCAUCAUGGAGAUAACUACAGGACCAUCCAUGUCAGUCUGGUACGUACAUUCACUUGCUCCCAUACCAGCCCGAUUUGAAAGCAAUCUGUGACAUUUGGGCUCCAGUAGAACACUUCUUGCCAUGAGAUCACUGCAUAGUUUCACAAAUAUUAUUGAAGUCUCACACAGUGCGUGUGAGGUAGAUCAGUGAAGUUAUCUCAUUUUUUCAGAUGAGUAAAAUACAGCAUAGAGAGGUGAUUGAUUUUUUUUUUUUUUCUUUUUCUUUUUUUUCCCUGAGACCACAGCAAGCCAUCUCUAAAGCCAGAAAUGAGAUCCCAAGAGUCUUGGCUCCUUCAUCCUGGUUUUAUAACCUGCGCCGCACUACCUCUGAUUGAACAGAGUCCUGAGGCUGAUUGGCAACAUCAUGGUUCUAAUCCAAAAGAAACCCCUAAUAAUUUUCCUUUUGAAAAGCAGAGGGGUAAACUUCCAUCCAUAUUCAGAAGUCUGCUGACAGUAUUGCACAACAUUGCAUAUUUUCUGCGAUUGAUUUGAGCAACAGGAACAGCAAAAGUCCAAAGGCAGCUCAAGUACCCUGUUCACAAGAAUCUAUUGCCAGAAAAAACGCCUCUGGAAAGAAGCUGGGGGAACUGGAUGAUGCAUCUUUGUCUCUGAGAAGGUGAACUUGAGAAAGGCUUUGGUAAGUUUCCUAAAUAUACAACAGAAUAUUUAUCUUCAGCCUUGAUCCAGGGAAAAAGGAGUACUGUUUCCUGAAAGGGAGGAGAGGCAGGAAAGCUUUUGGAUUAACACCCCAUUGUGCAGGUAGAAUCCCAGAGGGAGGUAAUGUGUAAUAUCGUUAAAAAUUUUUUAGAAAGUGAGUAGAUGUAAAAUACUUAUUUCUGAAAGAUUUGACACUCGGCCUUAUGUAAAAAAAAAAAAAAAAGGUAUAGAUGGUUUUAAUUUCAAAUUAGCUGUGACUCCCAUAGUGUGUUAUUAAAAAAAAAAUGUUUUUCACUUGGAAUUCUCAGUGUUUUAGAAGAGAGAGAAAUACAGAUUUGUCCAAUUUCACGUGCAAGUCCCAGGGCAGUGACAGUGUGCUGAGGCUGUGGGGUCCAGGAACUGCAGCACAGAACCCAGAGUGAGAAAACCUGGCAUCCACUUGUCAGUCCUGAAAAAUACCACAUCCCUUACCUGCUUCUACCUUUUGAGAGCUUUGCUUUGCAUAUAUAGAGAUAUUUUUUUAAAAAUCUUAAAUUACAGGAAAGCAUUAUAACAUUAAAUAGCUGCAUCUGAAGCACACUGUGUGUAUGAGGAAACUCAAUAUGGCUGAUAGGGUAUUGCCUUCUCGAUAAACCACCCUUCACUUCCAGUGCCCACCGCAUGAAAAAUGAGGAGAUUCGUUGAACAAGAUUGCCCUCUGCGGGCUGCACACACCUCCUUCCCUCACUGUGAUAUUCGUUCCCCUUUUCUACACAGGCAAAUUAAAUAUGCUGUGAACAUAAUGGAGUUUGGAUUAAAAAAAAAAAACCCACACAAAAAAACCCCAGUAAUUACUUGAAUAGAUAUUUGGGGACAGCUCUUUAUUCUUACUGAGAAUGGGUCCCAAACAUUAAUUUAAUUUGCCUAAAUAGCUCCUGCUUAGGUUUGCUGUUAUCUGAAGGCAAUGAGCUAAUGGAGAUGAUGCAGAAGGGAUUUGAUUUAGCCCUCUAGCUGUUUGUUCAAGUUGAGCUACCAGCACAGACCAUAACCAGCAUCUGGUCUAAUGAGCUACAGUGAGAGUCCCGCUGAUUGUAUCUUUGUUGUACCGGAUAACAAGGAAGAAUCACGCUAAAACAGACUUCUGGUGAAGGCUGUGAGAGUAAAUACAGCUCUUGGGAGAUGGAGGAGCGAAUACCUUGCAACUCCUUACCUAAUCUCUGCUGAAUAAUGAUCUCUUAAGAAUCUCAUUUUUAAACUAAACCAAAAAUCAUCACCAUGGUUUAUAAUUUUCAUAUAACAGCAGGUACAAGUCAAUAUCAUAAAACAGCGUAUGAAUAUGACAGGUGUUUAAGCAUUUCACUCAAUAUAUUGUUGUGUGAUUCCUUGACAAUAGGACUGAAGACUAAAUAGGGUAAAAGUGUGAUUUUUAAAAAACUGAAUGAAUGAUAUGUAACUCUGAACUUUAAAACCAGCAAAACUAUGUUGAAAUAUCCCUGCAUAGCUAUAGCAAUUAGGGAUGUCAUUUUGUAUUCAUAAUUGACAUAGCAACAUCAACAAAACCUCUAGUACAAAUACAUUGACGAACCUGCUUAUGUUGGUAUAAUACACGUUAGCUCAGGAGGCAGGGUAAACUUUGCCUUUAAACACUCUUAUUUCAAAACAGUUUGCAGAGAGAAAUUAUUUAGCCUCUUCUUUCUUUUUAUAACAUACUAUGUGCGCUUGCAAAAGAUGGAAAAUGUCCCUUAAUAGUAAUAAUUAAGUAUAAUACCGUAUCUGAAAUAAUAGUAAAAUUGCAAAGAGUGCAGUAAGACUCUCCUGGGUCUCUGAUCACCGACUCAUAAAUAGCAAGGGCUCCAGGCCAGAGAAGACUAAAGAGUCAGGCAGCCUUGUUUCUAGCAGAACCUGAAGCCCACUAGGAGUUCAUAGAUCUAGAAUAGUAGCUGAUUUCAAUAAGUAACUUUAAUCAGUAAAUUCCAAUGGAAAAAGACUUAAUCAGAUUUUUUUCUCCUGAGUAGCUCAAUAAAAUAUGUACUCUGAAACA